This is a long non-coding RNA of Solea senegalensis (Senegalese sole), 1024 nucleotides long. RefSeq lists it as uncharacterized. Lineage: Eukaryota; Metazoa; Chordata; Actinopteri; Pleuronectiformes; Soleidae. The transcript has 4 exons. The record is from RefSeq and is a predicted model, not a curated record.
CUGGACUGUGAGCUGUUGGCAGGCAGACAGACGCAGAGGGACACACGGCUCUGACAUGCUGAAACAAUCAAAGUGUUGUCUGCAUCCCGAGGAAGCUGCAGGGCCAGGACUAAAGUAUCACUGCUCCUCAUUCAGCUUUACAUCUACAUGGUUGGAUUUGUGGUGUCACAAGAGCUUUUCUGCAGUCGCUUGGUAAGACUUUUGGAGUGGAAGUUACUCCAUGGUCCAGCUUGUUUUAUGUUCCACCGCAGAACAACCCAGUUUCUGCAGCUGUGAAAAAUGAAUUUGUGGCCUGUAACCAGAGCAUUGCAGACUUGACUUGUUUUGGUGGGUGGGAUUGUAACGGAACCCAUAAUGCAGCUGUGAUUCUGGACUCCAGCUGGUUAUGAGGUCCGUUUCCAUCCCACAACGCACAGAAACCUCCUGAGGCAAUGGAGUCAUCGACAAGACAACUGACUCUCUGCUUCUAUAGAAUCGGUCUGAAAGUAAAUGAAUGUUAUACCAGCUGAAAACUUUAUUGUUCCUUAAAAAACACAGUAACAUAUUUAAAAAGUAAAACACUGGUAAUAGUAAAGAACAGUAUAAAAGUAUGUGCAAUAUGUUGACUGAACCACACGGACAAAGUGUAUUUAGCUUGAAGUGAACUCAUUUUCAUUCACAAAAGCUCCUGGUAGGUGGAAGGAUUUCAGAUUUUCUUUCUGCUAAAACAAACAAAAAGUGAAAGUAACAUUAUAUAGGCAGUUUAAUGCAUUGCUGACAGUCUGGAGAGAGUUUAUUGUUGUGUGACAGAUGACAGAGGGUGUUUUUCCUCAAUGACACGUUUUCUCCCGGAUUGCCGGCGACAGUAAACGCAACCGGGAAUUCCGUGUCAGCCAAGAAUGACACCAACCACAGCGAUUUGAGAGCUUCCUGAUCAUUAUUCUUUUGUUUGUAAAAAUGCACCUCUACAUUUGUGAUCACAGCACCUGACAGGUAUUUCUGGAUAGCAUUUUGUUUUUUAAAUAAAUCUCAAUUUCAAACGUUA